GAGGGUGGUAUAAGACCUGCUAACUCUUUAAUCUGGAAAUAACAACCAGCCCCCUCU
This 57-nucleotide transfer RNA is filed under the name Lycodon ruhstrati. Its description in RNAcentral is "tRNA-Ser". The record is from RNAcentral. Lineage: Eukaryota; Metazoa; Chordata; Lepidosauria; Squamata; Colubridae.